UACCUGAUUUUUAAUACGAAAGGUGGUCUAAAGCGGAAAAAGUAAGAUGCAGGGCCUUAUUUUUUAUUCGCUCCUGGUUGGUCUCGCUGUAGCAGGUCCUUUCCUUACAACCUAUGAAAGCCAAGACUUCACUCCAGAUUAUGGUGACACUGAUGCUGGUCAAUUGUUCGACAGUGCUCGUCCUGCACUCAGAGACCGUGACCUCGUGAACCACGAAGGCGAGUUUCCGUUCCCCGACCUAGAGGAUGAGGAUUCAAGCGAUUUCGACGGAAAUGUGGAGUUGGAGGGUGCUGAUGAUUACUCUGUAGAAGGUGAUGUUGGUGUAGGCAGUUUCAAAUUCAUACCUGGUGGCGUCAAACUCUUCUCAGAAGGCAGUGGGCUCCCGGAGGAAGAGGAUGGGGCGCAGCGCUGGCCCGAGGAGCUCGAGUUGGAAUACGAUCCUGAGCUCCCAGUGCGCACGGGAGAGCACACUGAGCUCUCCGAGCGUACGAACGACGAGUCGGCCGAUGUUGCACCUCGCAGAACUGGUGUUGGUGAAAAUUGGCCUGAAUUCCCGGAGCAGAACGAGGAACGGGCGUGGUAUGGCGAUAUUGUCGCUCUAAAAACAAGAAUCGCAGAAGCUGACCGUAACUGAGUGCCGAGUCAACAAGCGACUAAAAUCUUUUGCCAAGGCACUGUACACCGUUGUCCCACCAAGUGCAUUGUGUAAAAAUAAAAUCUCGUUCAGUGGAAUAGU
Anguilla anguilla (European eel) is the source of this 736-nucleotide long non-coding RNA. RefSeq lists it as uncharacterized. The transcript is spliced from 2 exons. The record is from RefSeq and is a predicted model, not a curated record. Lineage: Eukaryota; Metazoa; Chordata; Actinopteri; Anguilliformes; Anguillidae.